UACGUAGGGUGCAAGCGUUAAUCGGAAUUACUGGGCGUAAAGCGUGCGGAGGCGGUUUUGUAAGUCUGUCGUGAAAGCCCCGGGCUCAACCUGGGAAUUGCGAUGGAGACUGCAAGGCUUGAAUCUGGCAGAGGGGGGUAGAAUUCCACGUGUAGCAGUGAAAUGCGUAGAGAUGUGGAGGAACACCGAUGGCGAAGGCAGCCCCCUGGGUCAAGAUUGACGCUCAUGCACGAAAGCGUGGGGAGCAAACAGG
This 253-nucleotide ribosomal RNA is filed under the name uncultured bacterium. RNAcentral's name for it is "partial 16S ribosomal RNA". It matches the Rfam family "Bacterial small subunit ribosomal RNA", at positions 524 to 776 of the family's 1533-position model. The record is from RNAcentral.